AGGUGGUGAUGUGGUUUACCCAGGAUCACACAACUAGCAGAUGACAGAACCCUGGUGGGAAUUGUGUGUGGCUGCCUCAUCCAGGCUCCUCAUGACCACUUGCUGGACCACCCCCUGCUUUGAAAAAGCUCUCAACGUGUGCAGAAUGAAUUUAGUACAAUGCAUGACCAAACCUUGAAUGCCAAGAACCUGAGAGUCAGGUGAUAUUAAUCAGGGUUCUCCAGAACCAAUAGAAGAGAGGUAGCUAGGUAGACUUAUUAUAAGCAACUGAUUAUUUAUAUAGAAGCCAGGAAGUCCCACCAUGUGCCACCUAUCAGCUAAAGAACCAGGAAAGCCAGUGGCAUAAUUUAUUUUGAGUCUAAAGGCCCAAGAACCAGGAGUGCUGAUGUCCAAGAAUAGGAGAAAAUAAAUGGAGAAAAGAAGGAGAGAAUACAUUCAUUCUUCCUCAACCUUUUUGCUUUAUUCUGGCCCCCAACAAUUGGAUGACACCCACCCACAUCGAAGACUAACUUGCUAUGGUUCAGCUGACCUGUAAGGGCCUAGAAUCACCAAAUCCUAGAGUUGCAGGGACUUCAAAAUCCAUGCCAGAGAUUGUCUCCUGUGUUACUACUGUGUUGUCAGAGGCUACCUGGUAACACCCAGCUGGAACCUGCCCGAGUCUAGCACCUCACUGAGCUCGUGUUAUACAGCCCUCUCACUAUGAGGCCCGGACAGGCAGGCCCAUGCACAGAAUGCAACUUUGGAAUAAACACCAGUGACUUGGCAGUAAAGAUCUGCUUCGGAAGCUACAAAUUUCUAUGCCUUCAGGGGCCGCAGAUGUGUCGUGAAUGUUGGAGGCAGCCAAGUGUAAGCUGGGAGUUGUGAAAAGUGAGCAAAUACAGAUAAGCACAAAGAAGCUAAGAUUGCCCACCACGCAGAGCUCAGAGAUAGCUGCUAUUAACAUCCCUCUGCAUCUUUUUCUUUUCAAGUUUAUACAGUAAUAAUGAUGAAGACAGGAGCAUCUUUCUGUGCUGCUUUUUAAGGUUUUCACUUUUCUGUCUACACUUAAUACUGCU
This 1055-nucleotide long non-coding RNA is filed under the name Mustela putorius furo (domestic ferret). Its description in RNAcentral is "lncRNA (ENSMPUG00000026339.1)". Lineage: Eukaryota; Metazoa; Chordata; Mammalia; Carnivora; Mustelidae. The record is from RNAcentral.